Molecule: ribosomal RNA, 305 nt
Filed under: uncultured bacterium
Lineage: Bacteria
Description: bacterial SSU rRNA
Rfam family: Bacterial small subunit ribosomal RNA
Source: RNAcentral
UAUCCUACGGGGGGCAGCAGUGAGGAAUAUUGGUCAAUGGACGAGAGUCUGAACCAGCCAAGUAGCGUGAAGGAUGACUGCCCUAUGGGUUGUAAACUUCUUUUAUAUGGGAAUAAAGUUUUCCACGUGUGGAAUUUUGUAUGUACCAUAUGAAUAAGGAUCGACUAACUCCGUGCCAGCAGCCGCGGUAAUACGGAGGAUCCGAGCGUUAUCCGGAUUUAUUGGGUUUAAAGGGUGCGCAGGCGGACCAUCAAGUCAGCGGUAAAAUCGUGGGGCCCAACCCCAUCCCGCCGUUGAAACCGGCG